CACCGGCGGCUCGAGUGGUGGCCACUUUUAUUGGGUCUAAAGCGUCCGUAGCCGGCUUGGCAAGUCCCCUGGGAAAUCUGGCGGCUUAACCGUCAGGCGUCCAGAGGAUACUGCCAGGCUUGGGACCGGGAGAGGUGAGAGGUACCUCAGGGGUAGGGGUGAAAUCUUAUGAUCCCUGAGGGACCACCAGUGGCGAAGGCGUCUCACUAGAACGGGUCCGGCGGUCAGGGACGAAAGCUGGGGGCACGAACCGG
RNAcentral lists this ribosomal RNA (254 nucleotides) under uncultured microorganism. Its description in RNAcentral is "partial 16S ribosomal RNA". It matches the Rfam family "Archaeal small subunit ribosomal RNA", at positions 474 to 727 of the family's 1478-position model. The record is from RNAcentral.